UGGGACCCUUCAGUCUGCAGGCCGAUGCUCUAUCUACUGAGCCAAAGUGGCUAGGGCUGUGUUUGCAUUUUUAAACCAGGCAAAUUAUUCAGAUGAUAACAAACUCAACAGUUUUUUGGAGUCCCUGUACUCACAUUAUGAACAGACAUAUUUCACUAAUUUAGAUGUAGUACUCUCGAUGAGAAGGCUCAGGUUGAAAAAGGCUGGUCUCACCAAUCCAGCAUCUAGGCAAUGUGGCCAAUUUCAUCAACUCAUGUUUCCCUAAUUUGAUGUAUGUUGUGAUCCAGUGGGAAUGAGGGGAAGUUUAUAUUUGAACUGUCUGUGGGACAGGGGGAGUAAGAACUGCUUAAUUAGUGGAGUGAUUGGGGUACAAGGUGUCUCCAUAAGACAGGACGUUAUUUUCAUGCAUCAGAACUUCCUUUUACCCAUGAGUGAUCGUGCUAACUAUAAGUCAUUUAUAUCUAUACAUUAAAACAGGUUCCUCAAUUAGGCAACAUUUGGUUAGCCAAGCUCAAAUUACUAUUUGUACUUGAAAUUAAUAAAACUGCAUUUCCUUAAAAAUACACUCUGUAGUUAAGACUAUUUUCUUAUCUCCCCCUCCCCCCUACAACCAAUUCAGAGGGGACUUUUCAUAAGUGAAUGUGUUUUAGAAUGUGUUUUUAGAGAUGGAAUGGCCUGUGAUCGGAAGUGGCUCUGUCCCUUUACUUUUUCUGCAUGUACUAGAGUGUAAGCCUGACAAUAUAAUGAUUUUGGAUGAGAUCCAAGAGGGAAAACAAUAUGUUUAAAAGUAAAAUGCAAGGAAGGAAUUUUGGUGACUCUCAAGUGUAGAUGUAAAUGGAAAGGAAAAAUAAAGUACCAUUACGUAGUUCCGGGACCUUGGAAUCAUCUUCCUCUCUUUUGCCCUCUACUCAGCACAUGCCCGACUUGGUUCAUUCUUCUUAAUUUAAAUUUGUAGGACUCCUUGUCAUCAGACAUGGCCCUGUACCUUUGCUCCUCAAAAGCACCAUUAUAGGGCAGAUUUUAAUUCCUCUUUUACCAAUAAGAAAGCUGAGGCUUGGAAAAGUGGCUAAUUGCUGAGCCCCAGCUCAUCUCUUCAGACAGUUCUUGUUCUUUCUUUUCCUGGCUUUGCACUUUGACUCUUCCCCCACCCUCCUGCGAACGCCCUCUGUGCCUCUCCACCUGUCCUGGGGCUAGCCUUUAGGGCCAGCCUUCAGGACCUGGUUGACCUUCCACUACCUUUGGAGCUCUGCUGACUACCAUCCCCCACUGACUCAACCUCUUUGCCUAGGACAGUUGUGCAAUGUAUUUGGCAAUUCAUCCAAAGAGCCUUUUGCAGUUGGCAAAGCAUUAACUUUCACCCUUGAUCCAUACAUUUUUCACAAUUUAGGUGAAUACCUUGUCUCCCCAGCAUCACUGUAAGAUUGAGUUCUUACCCAAUGCUCAAUAAGUUCUUGAUGAGAUAUUCUAAUAAAUUUCGUGGAUUAUCUUAGAGGCUGUGUGUUAUGGAGAAAAAAUGACUGAGAAUAUCAGCACUGAAAAAAAAUGAAAGACCAAUUACACAAGGCUCUUCUUCUCUUAGGUCUCCUUGUUCUGCCGUAUCGAUAAACAUCUACAGUGUUCUGUGUACAUUGGGCAGAAUGUUUGAUGAUCACUCUUGAUUAGACAUAAGUAGUCCUUGCCAGUGGAAGGUCCUUGUGCUUUGUUUGCAUUUUAACCACAUGUUCUGUUCUCUUUGUGGUAAAAUAACGAUAACACCAAAUUACAGAGAAAAUUACCCAACGUUCCUUUAUUGUAAUGAUUUUUAAUAUUCACAUCUAAUCCUUACGCACAUGUGUAUAGAUUUAUGUGAUUGCAAGUCGUUGUUUUGCAUUCUGCUAUCAGAAAUGUGUUUUGAGUCUUUGCAAUUACCACAAUACUUUGUAAUACUUCUUUACUACCUAUAAUUUGAUAAACCAUUCAUAUUUUGGUGGAUAGUUUCCAGUUUUGCUGUUUAGAUAAUGCUACAGAGAAGUUCUUUGCUCAUAUUUCCUUAGAACGUGUUCCCGAGAUGAACUUAUUGGUAAAAGCAAAGGAAAUUUUUUUCUUAACAUUUUUGUUAGAAGAAAGGGCACAUAAAACACACACACACACACACACACACACACACACAGUUUACUGAAUAAUUAUAAAGUGAACACCCAACUAACCACUGCCCAGGGCAAGAAAGAACAUUUCUGAUUUCUCAGAAACCUCCUCUGUGUCCAAGAAGAAACUUGUGGUGGCUUUUGCUUCAUAUUUAUCAUGUGGCUUCCAAAUGGAUUAAAGGGACUUAUGUUGUCAU
Myotis davidii is the source of this 2320-nucleotide long non-coding RNA. RefSeq lists it as uncharacterized. NCBI's taxonomy places the organism in Eukaryota, Metazoa, Chordata, Mammalia, Chiroptera, Vespertilionidae. The transcript has 2 exons. The record is from RefSeq and is a predicted model, not a curated record.